AACGCACCUUGCGCCCCUCGGUAUUCCGGGGGGCAUGCCUGUUUGAGUGUCGCGUUAAUCACUCGCCUCCGCCCGACAUUCGUGCCGGGCGGGUCGGUGGACUUGGACCGUGCUGCCGCCAGGCGGCUCGUCUUGAAAUGCAUCGGCCUUUGUUGGCGGCCCUUCUGCGGUGUGAUAGUAUCGUCAUCGCCGGUCGGGAUCGCUAGGGGGCCUUGUCGCCGCUCUCGGGUGGCAGAUAUGACCUUGCGCUUUGACCUCAAAUCAGGUAGGACUACCCGCUGAACUUAA
RNAcentral lists this unclassified non-coding RNA (288 nucleotides) under uncultured fungus. RNAcentral's name for it is "partial contains 5.8S ribosomal RNA, internal transcribed spacer 2, and large subunit ribosomal RNA". The stretch from base 1 to 52 matches the Rfam family "5.8S ribosomal RNA", at positions 103 to 154 of the family's 154-position model. The record is from RNAcentral. Lineage: Eukaryota; Fungi.